UCCACGCAUGACGGGUGCAAUGGUGAACCGU
RNAcentral lists this non-coding RNA (31 nucleotides) under Homo sapiens (human). The record is from RNAcentral. Lineage: Eukaryota; Metazoa; Chordata; Mammalia; Primates; Hominidae.